RNAcentral lists this ribosomal RNA (225 nucleotides) under uncultured bacterium. Its description in RNAcentral is "partial 16S ribosomal RNA". It matches the Rfam family "Bacterial small subunit ribosomal RNA", at positions 109 to 334 of the family's 1533-position model. The record is from RNAcentral.
CGUAACACGUAUGUAACCUACCUUCUUCAGGGGGAUAGCCUCUCGAAAGAGAGAUUAAGACCGCAUAACAUUGAGCUGUGGCAUCACAAAUCAAUCAAAUAUUUAUAGGAAGAAGAUGGGCAUGCGGAACAUUAGCUAGUUGGUAAGGUAAUGGCUUACCAAGGCUACGAUGUUUAGGGGAUCUGAGAGGAUGGCCCCCCACACUGGUACUGAGACACGGACCAG